GCGGAAGGAUCAUUAUUGAAUUUUGAGAGAGGUUGUAGCUGAUCAUUAAGAUAUGUGCACGCCUCAUUUCCAAAUUUUACACCAUGUGCACUUUUUGUAGGCUGACUUCUGUUGGUCUAUGUCUUUUUAAACACACUCAAAAGUUUAGAAUGUUAAAACACAAGCUUUGCAUUUUUGCAAGCUUUAAAAUUAAUACAACUUUCAACAACGGAUCUCUUGGCUCUCGCAUCGAUGAAGAACGCAGCGAAAUGCGAUAAGUAAUGUGAAUUGCAGAAUUCAGUGAAUCAUCGAAUCUUUGAACGCACCUUGCGCUCCUUGGUAUUCCGAGGAGCAUGCCUGUUUGAGUGUCAUUAAAUUCUCAAUCCUUUCAAACUUGUUUUGCAGAGGCUUUGGAUUUUGGAGUGUUGCUGGGCUUUCAAAGUCGGCUCCCCUUAAAUGUAUUAGCUUGUAUAUUUUUGCGGACAAGCUUUAGUUUGAUAAAUAUCUAUGCUAAUUGCUUUGAAGCAAAUGUCAGCUUCCAAUUGUUGUUUUACAACACUUUUUUGACAUUUUGACCUCCAAUCAGGUAGGACUACCCGGCUGAACUUAAGCAUAUCCAUAAGCGGAGGAAAAGAAACUAACAAGGAUUCCCCUAGUAACUGCGAGUGAAGCGGGAAAAGCUCAAAUUUAAAAUCUGGCAGUCUUUUGGCUGUCCC
Molecule: ribosomal RNA, 695 nt
Filed under: uncultured fungus
Lineage: Eukaryota; Fungi
Description: eukaryotic LSU rRNA
Rfam family: 5.8S ribosomal RNA (bases 197-350)
Source: RNAcentral